CGCACGCCCCGGCAACGGGGAGUGGCGGACGGGUGAGGAACGCGUAGGAACAUGUCCAGAGGUGGGGGACAACCCUGGGAAACCGGGGCUAAUACCGCAUACGGCCCGAGGGCCAAAGCCGAAAGGCGCCUUUGGAGCGGCCUGCGUCCGAUUAGCUUGUUGGCGGGGUAACGGCCCACCAAGGCGACGAUCGGUAGCUGGUCUGAGAGGACGAUCAGCCACACUGGGACUGAGACACGGCCCAG
RNAcentral lists this ribosomal RNA (245 nucleotides) under uncultured bacterium. RNAcentral describes it as "partial 16S ribosomal RNA". It matches the Rfam family "Bacterial small subunit ribosomal RNA", at positions 63 to 334 of the family's 1533-position model. The record is from RNAcentral.